Molecule: ribosomal RNA, 492 nt
Filed under: uncultured bacterium
Lineage: Bacteria
Description: partial 16S ribosomal RNA
Rfam family: Bacterial small subunit ribosomal RNA
Source: RNAcentral
GAUGAACGCUGGCUACAGGCUUAACACAUGCAAGUCGAGGGGAAACGGCAUUGAGUGCUUGCACUGAAUGGACGUCGACCGGCGCACGGGUGAGUAACGCGUAUCCAACCUUCCCGUUACUGCGGGAUAACCUGCCGAAAGGCAGACUAAUACCGCAUGUUCUUCGAUGACGGCAUCAGAUUCGAAGCAAAGAUCCGUCGGUAACGGAGGGGGAUGCGUCUGAUUAGCUAGUUGGCGGGGCGACGGCCCACCAAGGCGACGAUCAGUAGGGGUUCUGAGAGGAAGGUCCCCCACAUUGGAACUGAGACACGGUCCAAACUCCUACGGGAGGCAGCAGUGAGGAAUAUUGGUCAAUGGGCGGAAGCCUGAACCAGCCAAGUAGCGUGCAGGAUGACGGCCCUACGGGUUGUAAACUGCUUUUAUGCGGGGAUAAAGUGAGGGACGCGCCCCUUUUUGCAGGUACCGCAUGAAUAAGGACCGGCUAAUUCCGUG